RNAcentral lists this long non-coding RNA (429 nucleotides) under Elaeis guineensis (African oil palm). Its description in RNAcentral is "long non-coding RNA (EGUI_LNC066096)". Lineage: Eukaryota; Viridiplantae; Streptophyta; Magnoliopsida; Arecales; Arecaceae. The record is from RNAcentral.
UCCUAUACAGAAUCAAUUUCAAUAAUUAGAAAGAAUACGAAUACCAUAUUUCAACGAUUUAGAUUGGGUCCGAUCAUCUAAUUUCAUCUAAUCAAAAUCUAAUUAGAACCUAAACGAUCCAAAGUUUGACUAUCAGAUCAAAUCGGAUUUGAAGUGAUAUGACCGAGGUUUCUUCAUCGAUUUCAUAAAAUCAAGUGGAGAGAGAAAAUCAGAGGAGAGAGAAUUCAUGAGGUACAAUUCGAAUUGAUCAGGUGACACAAUCCAACAUUAUGAUUGGUCCAAUAUCUCGAGUGGUGAAAUCAACAUGAUCAAAUCAAGUCAUGACUAGAUCGGGAUCAUGGAUGAUCAAAUCUAAAGAUUCAUGGUCUGAUCAAGGUGGGUGCCAGUAUGCUGUCUAACAAUCAUGGAUCAGGAUUCUUCAUUAGAAUC